Molecule: transfer RNA, 77 nt
Filed under: Paracoccaceae bacterium
Lineage: Bacteria; Pseudomonadati; Pseudomonadota; Alphaproteobacteria; Rhodobacterales; Paracoccaceae
Also listed under: 3 other names
Description: tRNA-Met
Rfam family: tRNA
About the family: Transfer RNA (tRNA) molecules are approximately 80 nucleotides in length. Their secondary structure includes four short double-helical elements and three loops (D, anti-codon, and T loops).
Source: RNAcentral
GGUGAUGUAGCUCAGUUGGUCAGAGCGGCGGACUCAUAACCCGCAGGUCGGUGGUUCAAAUCCACCCAUCACCACCA